This 549-nucleotide ribosomal RNA is filed under the name uncultured bacterium. RNAcentral describes it as "bacterial SSU rRNA". It matches the Rfam family "Bacterial small subunit ribosomal RNA", at positions 356 to 896 of the family's 1533-position model. The record is from RNAcentral.
AGGGAAUCUUCGGCAAUGGACGGAAGUCUGACCGAGCAACGCCGCGUGAGUGAAGAAGGUUUUCGGAUCGCAAAGCUCUGUUGUAAGAGAAGAACGAGUGUGAGAGUGGAAAGUUCACACUGUGACGGUAACUUACCAGAAAGGGACGGCUAACUACGUGCCAGCAGCCGCGGUAAUACGUAGGUCCCGAGCGUUAUCCGGAUUUAUUGGGCGUAAAGCGAGCGCAGGCGGUUAGAUAAGUCUGAAGUUAAAGGCUGUGGCUUAACCAUAGUACGCUUUGGAAACUGUUUAACUUGAGUGCAGAAGGGGAGAGUGGAAUUCCAUGUGUAGCGGUGAAAUGCGUAGAUAUAUGGAGGAACACCGGUGGCGAAAGCGGCUCUCUGGUCUGUAACUGACGCUGAGGCUCGAAAGCGUGGGGAGCAAACAGGAUUAGAUACCCUGGUAGUCCACGCCGUAAACGAUGAGUGCUAGGUGUUGGGUCCUUUCCGGGACUCAGUGCCGCAGCUAACGCAUUAAGCACUCCGCCUGGGGAGUACGACCGCAAGGUUG